Molecule: ribosomal RNA, 497 nt
Filed under: uncultured bacterium
Lineage: Bacteria
Description: partial 16S ribosomal RNA
Rfam family: Bacterial small subunit ribosomal RNA
Source: RNAcentral
GAUGAACGCUGGCGGCGUGCCUAAUACAUGCAAGUCGAGCGAACAGACGAGGAGCUUGCUCCUCUGACGUUAGCGGCGGACGGGUGAGUAACACGUGGAUAACCUACCUAUAAGACUGGGAUAACUUCGGGAAACCGGAGCUAAUACCGGAUAAUAUAUUGAGCCGCAUGGUUCAAUAGUGAAAGACGGUUUUGCUGUCACUUAUAGAUGGAUCCGCGCCGCAUUAGCUAGUUGUUAAGGUAACGGCUUACCAAGGCGACGAUGCGUAGCCGACCUGAGAGGGUGAUCGGCCACACUGGAACUGAGACACGGUCCAGACUCCUACGGGAGGCAGCAGUAGGGAAUCUUCCGCAAUGGGCGAAAGCCUGACGGAGCAACGCCGCGUGAGUGAUGAAGGUCUUCGGAUCGUAAAACUCUGUUAUUAGGGAAGAACAAAUGUGUAAGUAACUAUGCACGUCUUGACGGUACCUAAUCAGAAGGCCACGGCUAACUACGUG